Molecule: long non-coding RNA, 1148 nt
Filed under: Olea europaea subsp. europaea
Lineage: Eukaryota; Viridiplantae; Streptophyta; Magnoliopsida; Lamiales; Oleaceae
Source: RNAcentral
UAACAUUUUCCACACGAGGCCAACCCUAUCAUCUCUCAUUUUUUUCCAUCCUGCAGCUACUGCUGCCGUCGCAGCCAUAGAUCUGACGUACGCAGCAUGACAAUGCAAAGCUGCCCAACUUAGCAUUUAAUAUUAUUUACAUUUCGUAUAUUUGAUUUUGGCAUUCGAAAAUCAGAUACAGGUAUUCAAUGUUUUCCUUUGAAAUUUGUUGUUUGUUUUGUUGUGAUGAAACCAGUAGGUUCUUUAUCCUUUCAAUUUGUAGUUGUACUUGGAGUAUCAAAAUUCGAAAACUUGACUUGAAACAAAAAGGGCUUCUAUUAAUUCUUCUAUUGGUAUUAUUCUGACUUUUCAAGCAAUAUUUCUUUUGCCAGCAGUUCUUUUUUUUUCCCUACCAGUAUUGAUUUUUCUAUCACGUUAUUGUUUUUACUUUUUCAAGCAUGUGAUGCAUGAUAAUUCUUGGCUUUGCUCACAAGUAAGAUCUUUCCAGUAGCCAAAGAUCCUUCUUGCAUUCAUUAAGUGCUGUUAUAGUGCAUAAUCAGAGGCAACAGAGAAUCCCUAUAGAUUAGGUAAAUAGAACCAUGAUCACUCCAGAAUAGAAUCAGCUGUAAAUAAUUAUAGAUGUAUUUGCAAUUCUUAUUGCUAUUUGUAUCUGACAAUAGAUUGGAAAAAAUAAUUACGAUAGUAUAUAUAAUUAUACCAUCCUAGAUCAUGCAGUCUAUUUUUAGCAAAAGGGAAGAUAUUUUUUUUUUCUCUAAGCUUAUCCAUUGUUUUUGUAAUAGGACGGGCACUUGUAUCAGUUGUGACGAGUGGAAGUAAAAGAUUGUUUUGUGUAACUGAUAGUGCUCCUCAUGUGAGAAGAAAAAUGGAGUGCUCUUGCGGAUGUGCUGGUAUUUCUAAUGUACCCAUAGCCUUUUCAGUUAAAGCAAAGAUUUUUGAAGAGGUAAUUUCUCUGGAAAUCUCCUUUUCCUAAUAUUGCAGAACUAUUGGAGUGAUUAGCAGGAUUCUAGUGUUGAUGUUAAAUUAUAGCAACAGAUCUUUCAAGUACUUUGUGCUAGUUUUGUGUUGUAGACAAUGUGAACCUGUUUUAUGUAAUGAUGUCACAGUGUAAAUAGUAUUGCUAGCUUGUUAAACACUUUCUUAAGCUGGCU